RNAcentral lists this ribosomal RNA (388 nucleotides) under Protaspa sp. RNAcentral describes it as "partial small subunit ribosomal RNA". It matches the Rfam family "Eukaryotic small subunit ribosomal RNA", at positions 582 to 975 of the family's 1831-position model. The record is from RNAcentral. Lineage: Eukaryota; Cercozoa; Thecofilosea; Cryomonadida; Protaspidae.
AUUCCAGCUCCAAGAGCGUAUAUUAAAGUUGUUGCAGUUAAAAAGCUCGUAGUUGGAUUUCUGGUAUAAUGCGCCUGUCCCGGAAAUUUCUGUGUGACGGUGCGCGUUUGCCAUCCUUCUAGAAAACGUUUCUACCAUUUACUUGGCCGGACUCGCGAUCUAGAUCUUUUACUUUGAAAAAAUUAGAGUGUUUAAAGCAGGCAUAGCUUGAAUACAUUAGCAUGGAAUAAUAAUCUAGGACUUCGGUUCUAUUUUGUUGGUUUCUAGAAUUGAAGUAAUGAUUGAUAGGGAUAGUUGGGGGUGCUAGUAUUGGCCGGCCAGAGGUGAAAUUCUUGGAUUCGGUCAAGACUAACUUAUGCGAAAGCAUUCACCAAGGAUGUCUUCAUCA